Molecule: long non-coding RNA, 388 nt
Organism: Carassius auratus (goldfish)
Lineage: Eukaryota; Metazoa; Chordata; Actinopteri; Cypriniformes; Cyprinidae
Exons: 3
Source: RefSeq, a predicted model, not a curated record
AUGUCGGAGAGCGAGUGAUACUCACCAAAUACCUGAGUAGAAGCCACGCCCAUCACCACCUCAUCAAUACCCAGUUUUCCACCUACAUCAUGGAUGAACGGGUUCCCGCUAUCCCCAUGCUGAAAUGGGAUCAUAUGAUGGAGUCUCCACCGAUGUUUGCUUGCGAUUUGCCAGCACAGACCCCGAGGCAAACGUGCAAACUGCUGCUGGGUGCUCAGAGGUCACAGGAACUCAUGUUACUGCAGUACACGGGCGGGAGAGAGCACGUCUGUCAGACUCGGGAUCCGUUCUAAAGCUUUCAAGUCCCAAAGAGAGUCUGAGCCACCUAAACCGUCUGCUACCCCACGAGAGACACCUCGCUCAGAAGAGACUGAACGCGUCUGCUGCA